UACAGCAGCCAUAUCACCCUGCAACUCACAACUGGCAACCCACUGAAGCUAAGCAGGUGUGAGCCUGGUCAGUACCUGAAUGAGAAACCUCCUGGGAAAAACUAAGGUUGCUGCUGGAA
Molecule: ribosomal RNA, 119 nt
Organism: Lepisosteus oculatus (spotted gar)
Lineage: Eukaryota; Metazoa; Chordata; Actinopteri; Semionotiformes; Lepisosteidae
Source: Ensembl